RNAcentral lists this unclassified non-coding RNA (229 nucleotides) under Glomeraceae sp. RNAcentral describes it as "partial contains 5.8S ribosomal RNA and internal transcribed spacer 2". The stretch from base 1 to 65 matches the Rfam family "5.8S ribosomal RNA", at positions 84 to 154 of the family's 154-position model. The record is from RNAcentral. Lineage: Eukaryota; Fungi; Glomeromycota; Glomeromycetes; Glomerales; Glomeraceae.
GUGAAUCAUCGAAUCUUUGAACGCAAAUUGCACUCUCUUCGGAGAGUAUGCCUGUUUGAGGGUCAGUAUUAAUAAAAAUCGGUGUGUUGCUGCUUUGUGACGCCCCGGAGUUUGGGUCAUCUUAAUUUAUCCUUUAGGUUUUAAGAGGCUUAAAAUUUACUUUUUUUUGCGCAUUUUAUUAGAUGUACUUAUAUUUUUUUUUUUUUUAAUGUGUCUUUAUUUUUUAAAC